Oryctolagus cuniculus (rabbit) is the source of this 5671-nucleotide non-coding RNA. Lineage: Eukaryota; Metazoa; Chordata; Mammalia; Lagomorpha; Leporidae. The record is from RefSeq and is a predicted model, not a curated record.
GAGUGAGGGGAGGGGAGGGGGAGGCUGGGAGGGAGCCGCCGCCGCACGCGUGCGGGCCGCCGCCGUGGCCGCUCCUCUCACUCCAGCCUGUUUGGGGGGCACUUUGUUUGUGUCCCACAGUGCUCUGCGCGCAGAGCCGGGUUGGGGGAAAGGGAGGGGAAAGUGGGCGGUGCUACCUGGGGGCGGGGCCCAGAGUGGGGGGGGGAACGCGGCUGGUGCGCAAGCGCAGAGAAGACCCUUCUGGUGGUAGGGAUUUGAACUGGAGGCGACUGGGUCUCGAUGUGGGGUGCGAGGGCGCCCGCGUGACGCAGACGCCGCCGGGCCUGGACACCGGGCUGUUGGGCCCUCUUGGGGCCAGUGCUGGGUGCUUGAAGAGGGUGUGAGAAAGAAGUCCUCUCCUCUGCUUGGCUUGGGCAAGGCUCAAGAUGUAGAUGUGCUGCCCUGCGAAUCCCUUUGCCCACGGAACUGAUGUCGACGAGACCCGUUGAAAGGUCAGCAUUACUGUGUCCCUUGCCCAGCUUCCCAUGGUGUGCCACACUUCCUGCCCUACACAGGAUAAAGUAGAAUAAAGUCUGUUAUUCAGAAGCUUCACCAUCUGGUCCCAAACUACCUCUCUGAUCUAAUAGCCACUACACCCCUGCUUCAGCUUCUGUGUCGCUGACUUGGCCCACUUCUGUUCUCCAAGACUACUGUACCAAAUGCUGUCAUUGUCGUGGUCGCUCCUAGAAUGGCUGCUUCCUCCUCUGCCUAGUGGAAGACUUUACAUCCAUUAAGGCUGAGUUUAGUUCCAGGCCUCCAUAACCACUCCCAUUCACAGGUGUCUUACUGUCUGAAGCCCCUGUCAUUUCUGCUGUCUAAUCAAUGAGUGAUUGUAGUACUUAUGAUAUUCUUUUAAAAAAUUAUUUCAGAGAGAGAGAGAGAGAGAGAGAAAGAAUCUUCUGUCCACUGGUUCAUUCCCCAAAUGCCCACAGCAGCUAGGCCUGGGCCAGGUUGAAGCCAGGAACCUGGAAGUCAGUCUGGGUCUCCCACAUGGGUGGCAGAAAUCUAGCUACUUGAGCCAUCAUCUGCCACCCCCUAGAGCGCAUAUCAAUAGGAAGUUGGAAUCAAGAGUGAAGCUAGGAUUUGAACCCAGAAAGUCCAAUAUGGGAUUGGGGGUCCCUAGUGGUGUCUUAACCACUAUUACAAACACCCACCCUACUAGAUUCUUUCUUUUCUUUUCUUUUUUAAAAAAAGAUUUAUUGAUUUAUUUGAAAGGCAGAGUUAGAGAGAGAGAGAGAGAGAAAGAGAGAGAGAUUUCAUCUGCUGGUUCACUCCCCAAAUGGCUGCAACAGCCAAGACAGAUCAAAGGUGAAGCCAGAAGCCUGUGGCUUCCUCCAGGUCCCCCACGUCAGUGCAGGGCCCCAAGGACUUGGGCCAUCCUCCAUUGCUUUCCCAGGCACAGUAGCAGGGAGCUGGACUGGAAGUGGAGCAGCAGGGACCUGAACCAGUGCCCAUAUGGGAUGCUGGUGCUGCAGGCCAGGGCUUUAACUUGCUGAGCCACAGCACCAGCCCUGAUAUGUUCUUUCUUAUCUUGAUUUCAACCUACAGAUUUUAGAUUAGAAUCCGAGUCUAGUCUUCCCUGGACUGUUGAUCAUCUUCGUAACUCCUGUAGGGUUGGGUACUAUGUGCUGUACGUGACAGGGGCCUGAAAGUGCUUGUUGAUUAAAUGAAUAAUCCAUGCUUGAAAAAGCACGGAGUUGGCAGCAUUUAUUAGUGAAUCCGAUGACCUUUCAAGGACAUUCUUUGGUUAAGACUGGAAAAUUGGAAUGAAGUAAUAAUCCAAGUUAUUCUCAAGUCCAGAAAGGAGACCAGAGAACAUCAUGCCACUGAAAUCCCCUGAAGCCAUCCACAGUGUCAGCUUUACUGAGCGCCCAGCUUGAGUUGUUUCCAAAGUCCCAGGUUUCUUGUGAUUCUGUCACAGACUCAGAAGAUCUGAUCUUUACAAUCUGCAGCCCUCAACGGCUUUUAUAUUCAACAAGUACUUGACAGUUUGAAUUAAAUAAACAAUAAUGUGCCUAACCUUUUAUAAUUAGAGAUUUGGGAAUAUCUGGGAUAUGCACGUAAGUUAUAAAUGCUUUUUACAGCAAAAUUUAAUUUUUGGACAAUGCCCUUGGAAUUCUCUGAUUAGUCAGUGGUCACAAACCUUUUUUCUUUAAACAAUAGGUUUGACUUUUAGAAGCAUUGAAAUUCAUUUUUAGCCACAUCUGAUUAGUCAAAUGGAGACACAAGUCUGCUAAUAUGACUUCAGCACGAAACAAGGGAUUACAAAAAGAAAAAAAAAAAAGACAAACCGUCUCCCACUGCAUAAUUUUUAUGUGUGGCUUAUAAAAGGGCUGUGAAAGUAAUUCCACAAGAGAACUUUCAGAAAUGGAUUAAACUUUAGAAGCGUUCCGGUAAUCUCUGACCAAGAAUUUCUUGUGAGUCAUGAAGUAUGUGAUAUUCAGAAUAUCAUUUAGUUUCCUAGAAGCAAACUUGGGGCAGCCCAUCGCACAACCCUGGGGACUGUCACUUACCUUCUGUUCACAGCAAGUUUAAGUUUAAACAGUUUUUAAUGACAGAUUUCUAGCAGUUGUCAGUAAUGUAUCAUGAGGAAGGGGGUCUUUUUCGAAUUUACAGUGACUCGAACUCUGGUCCAAUGCUCUGUGGUCACAGGUAUAAAACAGGGUUCCUGGACUGGAGAAACUGAGAAUCUUGGGAAGCUUCUAGAUGAGCCGUGUUGGAACUGACACAUGAGAGUACUUAGGGUCUGACAUGAUACAUCGGUUGCCUGUCAUCACGGCACUGCCUUUCUUCUGUCUGUGGAGUAUUCUCUCCCCGACUCCUUAGGUGUUGGUUUAAUGGAGCAAUGACUGGUGUCUGUGGGAGGCGCUCUGAUAGGCAGCAGACCGAGGAGCAAGGAUGGGGAAUAGGAGCCGGAGGAUAGAGGGGCAUGGAGUGACCUGGGGGCGGAAUUCAGCAGGGGACACAGACAUGAGUAAGAGCUGGCCUUGACCUCAAUUUACAAACUGUGAGUAUUCCGUGGUGGGAUGGGAGAAGGAUGUAAACAGAAUCCUGCGGGUAAACACAGGACAGUUCCCCAUGUCUGGGCAAGCUGAAGAAGCCUUCCUGGAGGAGGUGACAUUUAAGCUAAGGCUUGAAGCAUUGUCAGGCCCUGACACACGGAGAAGGGGGAAGUCAUGAGAUGAAAGUGGCCUAAGGGCUGUCAUGAGAGAGGUGACCCCUUGCUCCGGGCUUCCUCCAGUCCUCAGCCACUGCCCGCGUUUCCUGGGAUGCUUUGGCUCCAGGCAGAGAGUUCUUUACGAGACAUCAUCCGGAACGUGUGUGAAGCAAUGAAUAAUGCCACCACCCGUUGGACAUCAGGUUUCAUUGCAGAGGAAACCGAAGGAGAGUGCCCCAAAUUCUUUGACUGCAUUGGGAGGAAUCAUGGUCUUCUACAUGGGAGGUGGGGAGUUCACACCUGGUCAAGGCUCAGCACUCCGAGGACAGACGAGUGUGGUACACAUUGCACAUCUCUGCCAAGGCCGACUCUGGAUUCCAGGGUUCCACACCACUGAGUCAGAUACAUCCAGAGAUUUGGUUGUAACCAAAAUGCUGUUCCAGUGAGUGAUGUCCCCAAUUGCCUAAGGACAUAAGGUAUUGCAUUCCUACCCACUGUCAUUUGCAAAGCACCUACUUAUAACGUUCUCCCAUUUGAAGUCAAUAAGGCAUUUUCUAGAAGACACUGAAAUUCACAGGGACUGUGGCUUACUCAGGGCCACCUGUAGAUACUUGAUAAAGAGCAGAGACGAAACUUGAACCAGAACAUCUAACUCUGUAUCUGAUGCUCUUUGAAUAUACACGCUAAUCCCCUUUGACAUGUGUGUGACAUUGAAGUCAUGUUGAAAUGGUUGGAAGCUGAAGUUCUUUGUUUUUAGAUUUAUUUAUUUGAAAGACAGAGUGGGAGUGAGAGAGAGAGACAGACAGACAGACAUUCCAUAUGCUGGUUUCUCCCCUAAAUGGCUGCAAUGGCCAGGGCCAGGCUGAAGCCUGGAGCCUGGAACUCCAUUGGUCUCCCACAUGGGUGGCUGGGGCCCAAGGACUUGGGCCAUCUUCUAUCGCCUUCCCUGGUGCAAUAGAUGGGAGCUGAAUCAGAAGCAGAGCAGCCAAGACUCAAACAGGUAUUUUCCCAUAUUGGAUGCCAGGUAUGCAAAUGGUGGUCUCGUGUGCUGUACUACAACGCUGGUCCCAGGAAGCUGAAGUUCUAGCAAAUUCUUCCUCAGAUUUCAUUUCUAGCUGGGGUGAGGCUAUCCAGACCAGUGGAGUACUGAAUCAGUUUUUCUACAUUGAUCCCCUGGGAUAGCACCCAUAACUGUGAGAAAUAGAUUUCUGUUGCUGAAGCCUUGUAGUUGGUUUGGUUAUGGCAGCCGGAGCUGACUGGAACUGCGCACUGCUGUGUGACCAGCAAGAACUUGGCCUCCACACAUGAAGCCAUCAGCAAAGAAUCCUUGCCCUCUAGUCGGAAAGAGGGGCAGGCACUAAAUGAACAAUGGACAUGCAGUGUAUACAAUGGCUAAUUAUGAAAAAAAGAGUCACAGGGCCUCAUUUAGGUUGGGGAAGGCGGAGAGAACCACCUGAGGCUAUGCCUUCCCGCCCGAAACUCAAAGGAAGAAGUGGGGAUGCCCAGCAGUGAGCAGAGGAGAGAGCCUGGGCUGGGGCAGGCAGGUGCGGAGGCCUGCUGUGACAAAGGGCCUGAGAAACUGAUGGGGGAAAACGUCACCGGAGGGGCGCAUUCAGACUGCGCAAUAGGACUGGGAGCCUGCAGGCAACCUUCAGGUGGGACCUUGUUAGGAGGUUUGGAUUUUUAUCUGACAGUGACAGGGUGUCCCCUCUCCUUCUACUGGGGUGAGAGAUACACUGUUGGGUUCCACGGAGUGGCACCUGCGUUCAGUGAAAUGUGGCGGUGUGGUGAGGCUGAGGAUACUGCGGAGUGGAAGGCAGUUUCUGUGGAGGACUGGAGAUGGAGCUGAGUGGGGGAGCCUGCUGGGGUCGCUGGACAGAGUUCACACCAUAACUGUAGAGUUCAGUGGUUCUCCAGUGGUGUGGAUGUUGCUUGUUGGCACGAAGGAGGUGGGUAUGAGGGAAGAGCUGAAUGGGUCCGGAGUGAAGGUUUGCACAUCACAGAUGGUUGGUGGGACAAGGAAUGUCGGCAAGAUCAAGGUUGAGGUGCUGGAGCUUGGAGUCCCAGGAGUAGAGGCAGAAGCAAAGACAUCUGGGGAAAGUACAUUUAAAUGGCGAUAGUCAGGGCUGGAGGCCCAUGAUGAACAAGGAUAAGUUUAGUGGGGACUGAUGAGCAUUCUAGAAGCAUGGGAAGUUGUGAUUGGCGAGUAGGAUUUUUUUUUAGUAAGACAUUCUUCAAACUUUUCUUUAAAGAUUUAUUUUAUUUAUUUGAAAGAGUUACAGAGAGAUAGGGAGAUAUAUACACACACACACACACACACACACACAGAGAGAGAGAGAGAGAGAGAGAGAGAGAGAGAGAUCUUCUAUCCAUUGGUUCAUUCUCCAGAUGGCUGCAACAGCCAGGGCUGGGCCAGGCCAAAGUCAGGAGCUAAGAGCUUGCUCCCAGUCUCCCACUUGGACUGGAAGUGGAACA